GACGAACGCUGGCGGCGUGCUUAACACAUGCAAGUCGAACGGAAAGGCCCUGCUUUUGUGGGGUGCUCGAGUGGCGAACGGGUGAGUAACACGUGAGUAACCUGCCCUUGACUUUGGGAUAACUUCAGGAAACUGGGGCUAAUACCGGAUAGGAGCUCCUGCUGCAUGGUGGGGGUUGGAAAGUUUCGGCGGUUGGGGAUGGACUCGCGGCUUAUCAGCUUGUUGGUGGGGUAGUGGCUUACCAAGGCUUUGACGGGUAGCCGGCCUGAGAGGGUGACCGGCCACAUUGGGACUGAGAUACGGCCCAGACUCCUACGGGAGGCAGCAGUGGGGAAUAUUGCACAAUGGGCGGAAGCCUGAUGCAGCGACGCCGCGUGCGGGAUGACGGCCUUCGGGUUGUAAACCGCUUUCGCCUGUGACGAAGCGUGAGUGACGGUAAUGGGUAAAGAAGCACCGGCUAACUACGUGCCAGCAGCCGCGGUGAUACGUAGGGUGCGAGCGUUGUCCGGAUUUAUUGGGCGUAAAGGGCUCGUAGGUGGUUGAUCGCGUCGGAAGUGUAAUCUUGGGGCUUAACCCUGAGCGUGCUUUCGAUACGGGUUGACUUGAGGAAGGUAGGGGAGAAUGGAAUUCCUGGUGGAGCGGUGGAAUGCGCAGAUAUCAGGAGGAACACCAGUGGCGAAGGCGGUUCUCUGGGCCUUUCCUGACGCUGAGGAGCGAAAGCGUGGGGAGCGAACAGGCUUAGAUACCCUGGUAGUCCACGCUGUAAACGGUGGGUACUAGGUGUGGGGUCCAUUCCACGGGUUCCGUGCCGUAGCUAACGCUUUAAGUACCCCGCCUGGGGAGUACGGCCGCAAGGCUAAAACUCAAAGGAAUUGACGGGGCCCCGCACAAGCGGCGGAGCAUGCGGAUUAAUUCGAUGCAACGCGUAGAACCUUACUUGGGUUUGACAUGGAUCGGGAGUGCUCAGAGAUGGGUGUGCCUCUUUUGGGGUCGGUUCACAGGUGGUGCAUGGCUGUCGUCAGCUCGUGUCGUGAGAUGUUGGGUUAAGUCCCGCAACGAGCGCAACCCUUGUUCACUGUUGCCAGCACGUUAUGGUGGGGACUCAGUGGAGACCGCCGGGGUCAACUCGGAGGAAGGUGGGGAUGACGUCAAGUCAUCAUGCCCCUUAUGUCCAGGGCUUCACGCAUGCUACAAUGGCUGGUACAGAGAGUGGCGAGCCUGUGAGGGUGAGCGAAUCUCGGAAAGCCGGUCUCAGUUCGGAUUGGGGUCUGCAACUCGACCUCAUGAAGUCGGAGUCGCUAGUAAUCGCAGAUCAGCAACGCUGCGGUGAAUACGUUCCCGGG
RNAcentral lists this ribosomal RNA (1343 nucleotides) under uncultured bacterium. RNAcentral's name for it is "16S ribosomal RNA". It matches the Rfam family "Bacterial small subunit ribosomal RNA", at positions 28 to 1378 of the family's 1533-position model. The record is from RNAcentral.